RNAcentral lists this unclassified non-coding RNA (21 nucleotides) under Mus musculus (house mouse). Its description in RNAcentral is "oocyte_clustered_small_RNA2471". Lineage: Eukaryota; Metazoa; Chordata; Mammalia; Rodentia; Muridae. The record is from RNAcentral.
UCCCCUACCAACCAAGUCCCA